GAUCCACCUCCAUAAAUUUCCACCCUCUGUCACUCAUUCAUAAUGCCACGUCAUAGUAAAACAGGAAACUUUUACUCCAUGAUGGUGUGAAGGCUGUGUGGGGGAAUCUUGAAGAAAAAGAUUGUCACAAUAUGGCUACAGCUGUGAAAUUUUUAUUCCAGUCAGCAGGAAAGAAAAAAGAGAAGGAGAAGAAGAAGGACAUACUUCUUUCCAUAAACCACUUCCACUUACAAGUCAUUGGUUAUAACUUAAUCUUAUGAAUGUAACCGGCUAUAGUGGAGGCUGCUCAAGUGGGAAAUGUAAUUUUUAUUCCAGGCAGUCUUGUGCUUAGCUAAAUAUGGGGUGCUCUUUACUAUCAAAGAGAGGAAAAAAAGGUGUUAGCCCACCCAACUAGCAAUCUCAGCCACGGAUCAUCAUGAGAUUUAAAUGAGACAAUGCAGGUAGAGGGUUGAGCACAGUGUUGGGCACUCAGGAAGCACUCAAAAAACAUUGUCAUCGUCAUCAUCAUCAUCAUCAUCAACAUCAUCAUCACCAUCAUCAUGAGAAGAUGCUGAGAGAUGUUACAUGUCUUGCUCAAGGUAACCCAGUUGGAGGACAGUCUUGGCUUCAGCUCAUUUGUCUCUAGAUCC
RNAcentral lists this long non-coding RNA (629 nucleotides) under Homo sapiens (human). Its description in RNAcentral is "HSALNT0297719". The record is from RNAcentral. Lineage: Eukaryota; Metazoa; Chordata; Mammalia; Primates; Hominidae.